GAACGAACGCUGGCGGCAGGCCUAACACAUGCAAGUCGAGCGCGCCCUUCGGGGUGAGCGGCGGACGGGUGAGUAACGCGUGGGAACGUGCCCUUUUCUACGGAAUAGCCUCGGGAAACUGAGAGUAAUACCGUAUACGCCCUUUGGGGGAAAGAUUUAUCGGAAAAGGAUCGGCCCGCGUUGGAUUAGGUAGUUGGUGGGGUAAUGGCCUACCAAGCCGACGAUCCAUAGCUGGUUUGAGAGGAUGAUCAGCCACACUGGGACUGAGACACGGCCCAGACUCCUACGGGAGGCAGCAGUGGGGAAUCUUAGACAAUGGGGGCAACCCUGAUCUAGCCAUGCCGCGUGAGUGAUGAAGGCCUUAGGGUUGUAAAGCUCUUUCAGCUGGGAAGAUAAUGACGGUACCAGCAGAAGAAGCCCCGGCUAACUCCGUG
This 434-nucleotide ribosomal RNA is filed under the name uncultured bacterium. Its description in RNAcentral is "partial 16S ribosomal RNA". It matches the Rfam family "Bacterial small subunit ribosomal RNA", at positions 27 to 507 of the family's 1533-position model. The record is from RNAcentral.